RNAcentral lists this ribosomal RNA (497 nucleotides) under uncultured bacterium. Its description in RNAcentral is "partial 16S ribosomal RNA". It matches the Rfam family "Bacterial small subunit ribosomal RNA", at positions 28 to 507 of the family's 1533-position model. The record is from RNAcentral.
GAUGAACGCUGGCGGCGUGCCUAAUACAUGCAAGUCGAGCGAACGGACGAGAAGCUUGCUUUUCUGAUGUUAGCGGCGGACGGGUGAGUAACACGUGGAUAACCUACAUAUAAGACUGGGAUAACUUCGGGAAACCGGAACUAAUACCGGAUAAUAUUUUGAACCGCAUGGUUCAAAAGUGAAAGACGGUCUUGCUGUCACUUAUAGAUGGAUCCGCGCUGCAUUAGCUAGUUGGUAAGGUAACGGCUUACCAAGGCAACGAUGCAUAGCCGACCUGAGAGGGUGAUCGGCCACACUGGAACUGAGACACGGUCCAGACUCCUACGGGAGGCAGCAGUAGGGAAUCUUCCGCAAUGGGCGAAAGCCUGACGGAGCAACGCCGCGUGAGUGAUGAAGGUCUUCGGAUCGUAAAACUCUGUUAUGAGGGAAGAACAUAUGUGUAAGUAACUGUGCACAUCUUGACGGUACCUAAUCAGAAAGCCACGGCUAACUACGUG